UCCCUCAUAGCUUAGUCUGUAAAGAAUCUGCCUGCAAUGCAAGAGACCCAGGUUAGAUUCCUGGAUUGGGAA
RNAcentral lists this transfer RNA (72 nucleotides) under Ovis aries (sheep). It matches the Rfam family "tRNA". From Rfam's summary of the family: Transfer RNA (tRNA) molecules are approximately 80 nucleotides in length. Their secondary structure includes four short double-helical elements and three loops (D, anti-codon, and T loops). The record is from Rfam by way of RNAcentral. Lineage: Eukaryota; Metazoa; Chordata; Mammalia; Artiodactyla; Bovidae.